This 1556-nucleotide ribosomal RNA is filed under the name uncultured organism. RNAcentral describes it as "bacterial SSU rRNA". It matches the Rfam family "Bacterial small subunit ribosomal RNA". The record is from RNAcentral.
GAGUUUGAUCCUGGCUCAGAUUGAACGCUGGCGGUAUGCUUAACACAUGCAAGUCGAACGGAAACGAAACUAGCUUGCUAGUUGGCGUCGAGUGGCGGACGGGUGAGUAACGCGUAGGAAUCUACCUAGUAGUGGGGGAUAGCCCGAAGAAAUUCGGAUUAAUACCGCAUAAUCUAUUCGUAGUAAAGUGGGGGACUUUCGAGCCUCACGCUAUUAGAUGAGCCUGCGUAAGAUUAGCUUGUUGGUAGGGUAAAAGCCUACCAAGGCUACGAUCUUUAGCUGGUCUGAGAGGAUGAUCAGCCACAUCGGGACUGAGACACGGCCCGAACUCCUACGGGAGGCAGCAGUGGGGAAUAUUGGACAAUGGGGGCAACCCUGAUCCAGCAAUACCGCGUGUGUGAAGAAGGCCUGAGGGUUGUAAAGCACUUUCAAUUGUGAAGAAAAGUUAACGGUUAAUAACCGUUAGCCUUGACGUUAACUUUAGAAGAAGCACCGGCUAACUCCGUGCCAGCAGCCGCGGUAAUACGGAGGGUGCAAGCGUUAAUCGGAAUUACUGGGCGUAAAGCGUGCGUAGGCGGUUUAUUAAGUCAGAUGUGAAAGCCCCGGGCUUAACCUGGGAACUGCAUUUGAGACUGGUCAACUAGAGUAUGGUAGAGGAAAGUGGAAUUUCUGGUGUAGCGGUGAAAUGCGUAGAUAUCAGAAAGACAUCAAUGGCGAAGGCAGCUUUCUGGACAAUACUGACGCUGAAGUACGAAAGCGUGGGUAGCAAACAGGAUUUAGAUACCUGGUAGUCCACGCCGUAACGAUGAUACUGUCCACGCCGUAAACGAUGAUAACUAGCCGUGGGGGGGAUUUACCCCUUAGUGGCGAAGCUAACGCGUUAAGUUAUCCGCCUGGGGAGUACGGCCGCAAGGUUAAAACUCAAAGGAAUUGACGGGGACCCGCACAAGCGGUGGAGCAUGUGGUUUAAUUCGAUGCAACGCGAAGAACCUUACCUGGUCUUGACAUCCUGCGAACUUUCUAGAAAUAGAUUGGUGCCUUCGGGAACGCAGUGACAGGUGCUGCAUGGCUGUCGUCAGCUCGUGUCGUGAGAUGUUGGGUUAAGUCCCGUAACGAGCGCAACCCCUAUCCUUAUUUGCCAGCACAUUAUGGUGGGAACUAUAAGGAGACUGCCGGUGAUAAACCGGAGGAAGGCGGGGACGACGUCAAGUCAUCAUGGCCCUUACGACCAGGGCUACACACGUGCUACAAUGGGAAGGACAAAGAGCCGCGAAGCCGUGAGGUGUAGCUAAUCUCAGAAACCUUUUCGUAGUCCGGAUUGGAGUCUGCAACUCGACUCCAUGAAGUCGGAAUCGCUAGUAAUCGUAGAUCAGAAUGCUACGGUGAAUACGUUCCCGGGUCUUGUACACACCGCCCGUCAUACCAUGGGAGUGGGUUGCACCAGAAGUGGCUAGUCUAACUUUAUUGAGGACGGUCACCACGGUGUGAUUCAUGACUGGGGUAAAGUCGUAACAAGGUAGCCCUACCGGAAGGUGGGGCUGGAUCACCUCCUUUCU